CCUUGGUUAUAGAGGAGCGGAUUGACUAAAGGGUGCCAAGUCUAAUCUCCAAUGUGCUUCCGAAUCGGGAGGCGCGCUGACUGCACAGGCUUCUGCCUGCGAUGUACCGGGUCCGACCUGCCGUCUUUUUGGAUGUGUACCCGCUUUUCCAGACGUGGCACCUGGGAACGAGCUGUCAGCGCGGAAGUCGUCGGGUGAAACGAAUGGCUGGCGGAGCGUGCUUACGGAAAACAAACGUGUUUAUAACACAGGCACGCGGGCGCUUAGAGACACCGCGAGACAUGCGGAAAGCAAUAGUGCAAACUAAUAGUGAUGCAAUUACCGACGGCGACGUGCUGCAAGAUGAGAAGCCUGCCGCGUACUCAUUUUAAAAGGGCUUCACGUGUCCAGCAAGGUGACUUCCUGGUGCCCUAUCUUGCCUGAGACUGGGUCCAGGUCCUCCCAAGACCCCGAGCAGGAUACGUCAUUGGAAGAUGGAUGGUGAUUGUUAAAAGAAUACUUCAGUAAAUGUUUAUGAUACAUUGGC
Molecule: long non-coding RNA, 526 nt
Organism: Paramormyrops kingsleyae
Lineage: Eukaryota; Metazoa; Chordata; Actinopteri; Osteoglossiformes; Mormyridae
Source: RefSeq, a predicted model, not a curated record